UACGAAGGGGGCAAGCGUUGUUCGGAAUUACUGGGCGUAAAGGGCGCGUAGGCGGCUUAUCAAGUCGCGUGUGAAAGCCCCCGGCUCAACUGGGGAGGGUCACGCGAUACUGAUCGACUCGAAGGCAGGAGAGGGUAGUGGAAUUCCCGGUGUAGUGGUGAAAUGCGUAGAUAUCGGGAGGAACACCAGUGGCGAAGGCGACUACCUGGCCUGUUCUUGACGCUGAGGCGCGAAAGCUAGGGGAGCAAACGGG
This 253-nucleotide ribosomal RNA is filed under the name uncultured bacterium. Its description in RNAcentral is "partial 16S ribosomal RNA". It matches the Rfam family "Bacterial small subunit ribosomal RNA", at positions 524 to 776 of the family's 1533-position model. The record is from RNAcentral.